GGGUGUUGGCUGCAGAUGUUAACCGAGACAGACAGUCGUGUUCUUAGUGGGCGGGCUGUCGGCCCCGGAAAGCAGGCGGAGUUGGUGGUUGUGAAAGGUGUUGUUUGUGCUUGGCAGGGAGUGGGCGCUUAGCAAAUAUUUGAUGAAGGAGUGGAUUUGUCUUCGCCUUAGCACACGGUUAAGUACACUGUAACUUCGCCGCAAAUCCGGUUAGGUAAUUUCCUUUUCCCACGAUACGUAGUCACCCCAGUUUUGUCUUCUUUACGUGCAAGCAUUUUCUCAAGCAUGAUUUUCACACCUUUAAACGUUAGUUUUGCCAAUUACACGAUGUGGAUGAGUCCGGUUUUUUUAACCUUUGAAAACGUACUGUAUGAUUCUUUUUUAAACUUCGAGUUAAAUUAGCCUUUUGGUCUGCAAGUGUGUAUGUUCAGGUUAUUCGCUACGGAUGAAUGGCACAGUAUUUGUCACCUUUAAAAAUCAGCGCAUCUUUAUCAUUCACUGAGGAAGCAAAGGAGGAAUAAAUACACAAAGUGACUCCCCAAGCCUAUACCCUCCGCAGGAUCAGACCCCCAACCCACUGUGCUAGACUUCUAACGCCAAAUAACUACCAUUUUUCUAGUUCCUAUUGUGUGUUUGGUACUGUGCUCCUCAGUCUACGUGAAGAAUUAUGCUUAAUCCUCCUGCCAUAUCUAGGAUAUAGAUAUUGUCAUCCAGGUUUGUGCAAUUUCAGGCCCCGCUGUGUCCUGAGGACACUAGGCUGGUACUGAGUUGAUAACAGCCCUUGUCAGAUAAUAUGUAUAGGGGAUAAUACUUAUACCCCCAGUUCAGAGUAAGAUUGAGAGUCGGAAUAAGCAUCUGGGGGAGGAAUACAGUACCAAGAAUAGUUUUUCAUACUUCAGAAUUUUGCCUAGAGACAGCAUAAUUUCCCUUGUCUCCAAUAGAUUUCUGGUUUUGUGCAAUAUCAACCUUAGAACAACUAUACAGAGUAUGCUAAGAGAGAAAUAAUCAAACGCCAAGGCCUAGAUUCCGCCUGACCAUGAGACAUAAGAUAUGUAAUGAAAGUGGGUCUGUAUGCAUGAUGCUUUGUGGCUAGCGAAUGUGAAUUAUUUCCCCCACGUCUAAUCAAACAAUUAAUUAGGCAUUAUGUAGCAGUAGCUUGUAUGUCUUUCAAAAGAUUGGAGUAAAAACACCAGGAGGGAAAAAGUAAUUAUGACUUAGUACUGUGGUCCAUAGUAUUUAUAUGCGGAGAGGUGUGAAAUCGGAGAGCAGAUAUCCUAACACACAUCCCUUCUUCAGGGAACCAAAGAGAAAUGAUACUCAGUAUGUGAUAAUAUGGUCCAUAUUAGCAGCACCAAAGGACAGCGUGAGAGGGCCUUAACCCUUACCCCCCAAACUCUGUUCAUCAGUCCAAAUCAUCUACCCUGAAUAACUGUUCCAUCUAAGUGAAAACAAGUUUUGCUAUUGAAAUUUACCUUCAAGCAAGAGCCCUAGUCCCCCAUUUCCAACCAGAAUGAGUCCCUAAGACCCUAGUUAGAAUUUUUUGAGCUAUCCAGUUAUCCACAUAAAAUUAAUGAACAGUCAUACAAAAAAGCUCUCAAACUAGGGGAGCAGUGAAGCACAUGGUUAAGAGCUUGGCUCUGGUGUCAGAGCUGGUGUAAAUGUUUCUGCCUUUGAUUAGUUAUGAGGCAAUGGUAAGACUUCUCUGUGCCUCAGUUUCCUCAGCUGCAACAUGGCAAGUGGAAUAAUUUUUCACAGGAUUGUUAUGAGGCUCACCUGAGACCAAGCAAGCUCUGAAUUCUAGACCAGCACAUUCAGGAAAUGGUGGCUCUAAUCUCAGUUUUCAUGACUACGCAAGAAUAAUAGAAGCAAUCACAAAUGCUGCAUAAACCUCUUAAACUAUGAAUGUAUUGUGUGCUGCUUCAGAGCUGGAGCUGAGGACUUGUUGAUUACCUCCCAUUUACCAAAUUACAGCAAAUUAGAUUGAACUGUGACUGGCAUGUGAACGACCUGAUGUUGGACAUGGAUGAGGAAUAUUGCUCUAUAAACCACAUCGCUGCCCGUUUCCCGUAGUUUCCAGCACGACUCGAAAGGCUCUCCACGAUCUGCUUCCAGCUGACUUUUCAAGGUGUCAUUCUUCCCGCGCUUUCCCCAUGUUCCUUGCAGAUCUGCGAGUGAUUACUGCUGUGUAAUCACCCACACAGUUCCCUCAGCCUGGAAUGCCCUUACCUUUCCAAUUCUGUGUGAAGAAAUCUUAUUAACUGCAGCAUCAUGUUGCUUCCUCCAGGAAGUCUCCCUGGAUUUCCCCAGGAACUGCUAUACCGUUUUCCACUGUGGCUUCAUUGUUGUACAUUCUCACCAAUAGUGCACAUGAAAGGUAGUACUUACUGAGCCUCAACCCUCCUCAGUAACCUGGGUAGCCUGAGUCAGAGGAAUCCAGCAUCCAUACCCCUAAACUAUCCUGUUGGACCCUGUUUACUGAUGGAAGUCCUUCCCAGUUGUGAGUGUCUUCUGACUAGUGCAGUUCCAGGACCAGUGACAUUGGAUAAAUCCAGCUGCAAAGGAAGGUGGGUGGUCUUUAAACCUAAAGUCAAGCAAAUCUGGCAGAUGGAGUUCACCUCAAGUGCAAACACCUUUCAGUGGUCGUGGUGCCUGGAUCCCUUUCUUGAGAAGGCUUGUGACAGCAGUGCUGUGACUGAGUAACGCUGGCCGUCUGCCACAGGCGUGGGAGGGACGAAGGCUGGUACUGCAUAUUUGACAACCCUGAACUCCUGUCUCCUCUUCACCAAGCCCUCUUAGCUUGCCAGGAUUUGUAUCUUGCAAGGUACCUCCAGUUCAGCAAGGACUUCUUCCUCAAAAGAGCCCCCCAAAGUCACUUCAAGUCAGUCACACCCGUUAAGUCUAUUUUCCAUCCUAAAGCAGUCUCCUGAAAUGAAGCUCUCUCAGGCCCUCCUGAUUCUGUCACCUCUCUCUCACUCCCGCCAAAGAACCCACCUUCCAGUCCAGCUAGUUCUUCUGUUUAGAGAGAGAAAAGCUGCCCAUGUAAUUGGGGCUGUUGUUCUCCCUCUCUCCUCGCUCUGUGAUGUAUCGUAAAGCUUUAGCAGGUGCACGCCCACCCGAGGAGGCGGGGGUGAAGGAGAAAUGUGGGAGGGCUGUGCUCCAGUUGGUGCUGAGGUCUCCACAGCAGCUUGCUGAAUGCUCAUUUACGAGGCUCUGCAAAGCAUUUUGGCAACGGGAAGUGCUACCGAUAGUGACGUAGUGGAAAGUCAUGGGACAGAAAAGACUUUAUAUACACUUCCAUUUUUUCCCCGCCCAUACUCUGGAAUGAACCAGUAAACAUGUCAUUAAAACAAGAGCAAAAUCAUUCUUCUGGGAUUUAAGGCUCUGUCUUAGUAGGAAAAGAAUACUUGGGAGAACUUAACUUUUAAGUGACGUUUGAUGCCAACAGAUUCUAAAAGCUGACAUCGACAUUUCUGAUAUUUGUCCAUUACUGUUUAAUGCCGCAGGUUAAGUGUUGCUUCAGGGAGCUUGGAAUUGUUCACUUCUAAGAAGUGAAGAGGAUGCUCAUUAUUUCUCUUAUUACUUCUCUUUAGAAUUUGUAUCGCUCUUAUCACCCACAAACUGCUCCUUGGUAAUUUUCAUUACUAACAAACUCGUAACCCGAUUGGCUUCUUUUGAAAUUGGGGGUACCGUGAAGUCACUCAGGAUAUAGAUGUGGUGCUGAUGGGAUCAAUUAAAAUGAAUCGUAGCCCAGGGAAAGGUGCUUUGUGGAGCAUUACAACGUGACAAAAAUGAGUUUAGAAAUAAGCACUUAUUUUACGACCGCAUUUCACAAACUUGUUCACCCAGAUAUUUGUGACAGUCACAUUCGGGACCAACAUAAAGGGUGAGAUAGAGGAAGAAAAACUGGCAAACAUGAGGAUUUAAAAGGAAUUGAUGUUUACUGACGAGAAAUUCAUCAUUUCAAAGGGCCUCCAGGAACAGGC
Equus caballus (horse) is the source of this 3983-nucleotide long non-coding RNA. The record is from Ensembl. Lineage: Eukaryota; Metazoa; Chordata; Mammalia; Perissodactyla; Equidae.